RNAcentral lists this long non-coding RNA (210 nucleotides) under Mytilus galloprovincialis (Mediterranean mussel). Lineage: Eukaryota; Metazoa; Mollusca; Bivalvia; Mytilida; Mytilidae. The record is from RNAcentral.
GUGUUACAGCAUGCCCAUGUUGUUGUAAAAGAACUCACAUGUUGGUGUAACAGAACGCACGUAUUGUUGUAAAAGAACGCACAUGUUGGUGUCAAAGAACGCACAUGUUGGUGUCAAAGAACGCACAUGUUGUUGUAAAAGAACGCACAUGUUGGUGUCACAUAACGCACAUAUUGUUGUAACAGAACAAAUAUGUUUCGUAUAUUCUGU